AAGAACAUCCAGCAGCAGACACCAGCCAUGAGCCCACAAGUCCAGAGUGGGCAGAAGCAGAGCCAGGAGCAAGUAGUGAUGAGGGGAUUGGGGAUUGCUCCUGUCAGUAUGGAAGGAAAAGGUGAGCUGUUGGAACAGAUUGUGUGAACAAGCAAGCAUUAGUUCCUGUAAACCACUUUCUAGACCCAAAACGAUAGUACUGACCUAUUUAAUUUUUAUUAUUAAAAGUGAGACAGUAAAUACACAAAGCCCACAAUCGAAAGGCAAUAGCAUAAAGUAAUAUCAAA
This is a long non-coding RNA of Sphaeramia orbicularis (orbiculate cardinalfish), 287 nucleotides long. RefSeq lists it as uncharacterized. The record is from RefSeq and is a predicted model, not a curated record. Lineage: Eukaryota; Metazoa; Chordata; Actinopteri; Kurtiformes; Apogonidae. The transcript is spliced from 3 exons.